Molecule: unclassified non-coding RNA, 353 nt
Filed under: plant metagenome
Description: partial contains small subunit ribosomal RNA and internal transcribed spacer 1
Source: RNAcentral
CAGUCGUAACAAGGUUUCCGUAGGUGAACCUUGCGGAAGGAUCAUUAUUGAAUUAUUGUUUUCUUAGAUGGGUUGUAGCUGGCUCUUUGGAGUAUGUGCAUCGCCUGUCUGGAACUUCAUUUUCAUCCACCUGUGACACCUUUUGUAGUCUUUUUCAUGGUAAUUGGUAGGAAGUGGUCAGCCUAUCAGCUCUUUUGCUUGGAUGUAAGGACUUGCAGUGUGAAAACAGUGUUGUUCCUUUACCGUUGGCCAUGGAAUCAUUUUUUCCUGUUAGAGUCUAUGUUAUUCAUUAUACUCUUAGAAUGUCAUUGAAUGUCUUUACAUGGGCUAUGCCUAUGAAAAUUAUUAUACAA